AGUUUUAUUUUCUUAAAGAGAAACUCAUUUUUUUAGAUAAACGCUAUUUUCCCUUAGGUGUGGAAAAUAUUGCCUAUAGUGGUUUAUUUAGAAGCUUUCUUUGAGCAAUUUUUCAAAAUUUAUGAAGGAUCAUAAUAACGUUUGAUUGUGGUCCUCCACUAAAUAUGCAUGUAGUUCUAGGGUGCAAUUUCUUCACUUUAUAUGUUGUUUAAAUAGAUAAUAUUUUUGAAAGUUAUCCCAUGUCUUUUUUUCCCAGUUAAAUAACAAUUUCAUUUCAAUAGAAACAAGAAAUUAGAUAUUGAUUUGGCAUAAAUAUUGAUUUUUAUAUUUGGUUAUAAUAAACAACAAUUUUUUUUUUCUAGAAUAGAUGGUUGUUAAAGGAGGCUUACAGGCAAAUAAAUCAUUGUAAAUAUGCACCAAGUUCAGAUUUUUAUGUCAAUCUUCUUGCACUGUCAAAAGCUUGACAUGAUGCUCAAAUGAAAUAUUAAAUGUUUUUGAAUAUAUUGUAUUAGGAGCAUUAUGGAGAAUUCCCUUUGUUCGAACUCAUUUCAUGUGUUCCUCCAAGUGGCCCUUUUGAGAAGGGAAUGACACACAUGACAUGAUUCAAAGAUACUAAUGUUUUAACAUUUUUGGGAAUAUUGGAUGCUAUAUGUCUAAAUAUACUACAUUAUUUAAGUUUGAAUGUAUGCAGUGGAAAUGGGAGAACUAAGUUUAUGUUGAA
Long non-coding RNA from Quercus robur (English oak), 721 nucleotides. RefSeq lists it as uncharacterized. The record is from RefSeq and is a predicted model, not a curated record. The transcript is spliced from 2 exons. Lineage: Eukaryota; Viridiplantae; Streptophyta; Magnoliopsida; Fagales; Fagaceae.